AUUGAACGCUGGCGGCAGGCCUAACACAUGCAAGUCGAGCGGAUGAAGGGAGCUUGCUCCUGGAUUCAGCGGCGGACGGGUGAGUAAUGCCUAGGAAUCUGCCUGGUAGUGGGGGAUAACGUCCGGAAACGGGCGCUAAUACCGCAUACGUCCUGAGGGAGAAAGUGGGGGAUCUUCGGACCUCACGCUAUCAGAUGAGCCUAGGUCGGAUUAGCUAGUUGGUGGGGUAAAGGCCUACCAAGGCGACGAUCCGUAACUGGUCUGAGAGGAUGAUCAGGCACACUGGAACUGAGACACGGUCCAGACGCCUACGGGAGGCAGCAGUGGGGAAUAUUGGACGAUGGGCGAAAGCCUGAUCCAGCCAUGCCGCGUGUGUGAAGAAGGUCUUCGGAUUGUAAAGCACUUUAAGUUGGGAGGAAGGGCAGUAAGUUAAUACCUUGCUGUUUUGACGUUACCAACAGAAGAAGCACCGGCUAACCUCGUG
This 484-nucleotide ribosomal RNA is filed under the name uncultured bacterium. RNAcentral describes it as "partial 16S ribosomal RNA". It matches the Rfam family "Bacterial small subunit ribosomal RNA", at positions 30 to 507 of the family's 1533-position model. The record is from RNAcentral.